This 1672-nucleotide long non-coding RNA is filed under the name Heterocephalus glaber (naked mole-rat). RNAcentral's name for it is "lncRNA (ENSHGLG00100045626.1)". Lineage: Eukaryota; Metazoa; Chordata; Mammalia; Rodentia; Bathyergidae. The record is from RNAcentral.
CCACCUCGAGUCCCACUCUCUCAGGGGAAGUCAGUGGCUUUGCCGGUCGCCAGUCCGGGGAGGGUCCCCCUUUGGCCCCGGCACCUUCUUUCGGUGCGCGCCCAUCGCCUCCUCCCCUGGGCCGAGCCCACGGGCCCCGGGCCCCCGGCGCUCUUCCCGGGCCUCGCCGGUGGCGGCGGAGCUGUCCCCGAGCUCCUCCUCGGCCGGCGAUCCGUCCCCGCACCGCCACCGCGGCCGCCAGGGUCUCCCCGCCGGCCUCAGCCCGGCCCCGCGGCGUCCACGUGGCCCGCAGAGCUACCUUCGGCGGCAGAAAGCCCCGCCGGGCCGGACCAGCCGAGGCCCGAGAGGGCGCGAGGACGCGGCGCGGGGCGGGCCGAGCGGAGGAAGGGGAGGGCCGUGCGCCCGGCGGCCGGGAGGCGGCCCCGCCCGUGGCCCCGCCCCGCUCCCGUUACUCUCGGGAAGGUUUCCGAGGCCGCUCCCAUCCUCACCCCACCUCCCGGCCCGGCACUGGCCUCGCCGCCGGAGCCCCACUAUGCCAGACGGUUUCGACACUUCGCAAAGACAAAGAGCCCCCGAGCAGAGCGAGGAGAGAGAGCAGGAAGGCGAGGACACAGAGGCGCCGGGGGCGAUGUGAGCCGCGGGGUCUUGCGAUGUUGGCUGCUGCAGUCUUGGCGUCUGUCUGGGAUCUUCCUGCUGAUGUCCAUUCACGGAACGCCACACCCUGGACUUCCUGGGCUCAUUGUACCUAAAUGAGACUUUGAGGCCACUGUUAGCAUAAGUACUGCCGCAGUUGAGAUGACUGAAGCUGGACAAGCUUCCCGUUGCCUGCAAGGCACCCCGGAUGCCCGUGGGUGUGGGUGGGGAGCUGUUACGUGCUGUGAUGUGCCUCCUCCCUCCUGAACUCUAUGUCUGUGGUUCCACUGGGCAGCUGGGCCCAUGCUCGUCUGAGCAGCCCCUCUGCCUGUCCGCGUCCCUCCAUCUCCCUCACCUCAUUCCUGGGAAUCAGAUAAGCGACCAGAAAAACAAGGUGCCCCCCAGACUCACAUGCUCAGAGCAGUAUUUCGGAGGACUGUUAAUAGGAUAGUUAAUGAUAGGUCUUCCACCACUUCAGCAGCUAUUAUGUAUAGUAGCUGCCCUCUUCCUAUGGUGCCUUACCCCCUCCCCUGUGUGACGUCAUGCCAAGAUGGUUGCUCCCACCAAAGAAUAAACCCUUCUUCCCAGCAUGCCCCUGUUCCCGCCUAGAAAGUAACCUAAUACUCGCUCACCUCCUACCACCUAGUGACAUCACCGGCUCCUCCAUUCCCUAGUCACUGCCUCACUCAACCCCACCUCUGCCCCUACAAACCCCACCCCAGUCUCUAUAAAAGACUCUCCCUGCCCCGGCCAUAUUGCUUUUGUCUCUCCUUGGUUCAGAGACAGCCCGACAGAUCUAGUCCCCUAAUAAAGGCUUGCUGUGGCCUGGUCUGGUCUUGGUCUUUGGCCCUUUUACCUGACAGUUAGUGAUGGUGUUCCAGGUCACCUUCGCUGGGGACAGACUUGAUGAUGUCAGCUCUGUCUCCUGGCCCAAAGUUUCUAUGGUCAGUAGAGGUUUUCUCCACCGCCCCCCCUUUUCUUUUUGCCUUCUUUCCUUCUUUUCCCAUGUCUACAACAUAUGGUCAAAAGCACUUAGCAG